GGUCUAGAAUCUGGCCGCCUCCAGCCGCCCCCACCCCUUGCCCGGCGCACCGUGUUCCACCGCCCGUGAGUGUGACUGGGAUGAUUCUCUGUGAAGCCCGGAUCCGGUCCCCUUCCCCCCGCCCCACACGGAGUAACAAGGGAGAGGUGGGCAGAGCUGAGCCCAGUGCCCAGAAACGUGGAGUUGGCCAGGGGUGCCAUGCUUCUGGAGGUGGGGAGGGCCCGAAGUAACAGUCUUCCCCCGUCACUCGACAAGUGUGGCCCGCUGGGAGGGAAUCUUGCCCAAGCACUCCUGUUCUCCAGGACCACCUAUGGUUGCAGCCCUCAGUGCCUGCUGCCUGCCUCUUCCCUGGAGGUCAAGGGUCCCGGCAGGGUUGGGAGAAGCCAGGAGGCUGGUGGCCCUCGGGAGAUCUGUGGCUUCCCGUUGAGCAGUCGUCACCCUUCCCUGCCUGAAGCUGAAGGAGGGGGCUGUCCACAGUCCAGGCUGGAUCAGGUGUCAGGUGUGGUCAGCCUUCUCUCGCUGGUGGGAAGCCACUGCCUUUCCUGCCACACGUUCCUCACCAAGAGGAUCUCCCAGCUCCUGGGUGAUGCUGUCCAGACCUCCUCAACACCCAGCGCCACCACCCACUUCUUUGGCCAGUCUUUGCCGAGGCUGGUCAGUCUUUGCCGAGGCUGGUCUGUCUUUGGCUCCAGGAUGGCCCGCCAUCCAGUUGGAGCCACAGAUGAAAAGCAAUGCCAGUGUCCAGCUGCCCCAUGUGCCCAGAACCAGCAGCUCUGGAACCUCAGCCCCCGAGUACAUUCUUGCAGUGGGAUCAUUUCGGGGGUGGGGCGGGGGGGUGGUGCUUUGAUUGGCAUUUACCAAGGCCCUCUCUUGCACCCUUUUCCUUUGAGUUGUUAGUCUUUUCUUAUUGACUGGUUCAUGUUCUCUAUACAUUAAUGAUAUGAGCCCUGAGUCACAUCUUGGUAAUAUUUUUUGCCCCACUUUGUCACUUGUCUCUUGACUUGGUGGUUUGGGGUUUGUGUUUGACUAGGCAGACGAUCUUAGCGUUUGUGUCAUCAGACUUUCCAGGCUCUUCCUAAUGGUUUCUGGUCGGUUUAUUUUCUUCCAAUUGACUUAGGGUGAUCUUGUCCAUUUAAAGUCAUCGUGUAUAAAUUACCCAUUGCUGAAUAACAAGGGGCUACCCAGGUGAGGCUAGCAGUAAAAACCUGCCUGUCAACAUAGGAGACAUAAGAGACAUGGGUUGGGAAGAUGCCCUGGAGAAGCCAAUGGCAACACACACUAGUACUCUUGCCUGNNNNNNNNNUGGACAGAGGAGCCUGGAGGGCUACAGUCCAUGGGGUUGCAAAUAGUUGCCCCUCGCUUCACCUAGGUCCGGCCCACCCUCCUGGGGGAGCAGGCACCAGGUAUAGUGGGUUGCAGAGGUGCCCCGGGGUGGCGGGGCGGGCCGGGUGUGGUGUGAGGGUGGUCAGUUCCCCCGUCCCCCUGACUCAGAGCAGACAGGACCUGCAGGAUGAGGGGGCCACUCCCCACAGGGUGACCAGACACCCCCUCCCCAGGCUUAGUAGGAAAUAAGGGCCCCGGCGGGCACCUGUGGCUGGACCCCUCCUCUGCUCCGGGGGGGCCAGGUCUCAUGCCGCUUGCCCCCAGCAGAUGGGCUCCUGGUGCCAUCUGCGUGUCCCCCUCUCCAGAAGCCCUCCAGAGGUGGCGCCCUGUCUCGCUCCCUCCCGCCCGACUGGUCGAGGCUCUGGCCCGUGGCCUCUCUUCAGGGCUGUCCUCAGGGUCGUUCCCCCUAUAGGUUCCAGCUUCUCCCCUUGCUGCCCUGCGGGCCUCAUGACCGCCUGGGUGCGAUGUGUUAUCCAGGGAGGGGACAGGACUCCUGGUUACACUCUCCUCUGAGGCCAUUCUCCC
RNAcentral lists this long non-coding RNA (1908 nucleotides) under Capra hircus (goat). RNAcentral's name for it is "lncRNA (ENSCHIG00010026255.1)". Lineage: Eukaryota; Metazoa; Chordata; Mammalia; Artiodactyla; Bovidae. The record is from RNAcentral.